Molecule: ribosomal RNA, 497 nt
Filed under: uncultured bacterium
Lineage: Bacteria
Description: partial 16S ribosomal RNA
Rfam family: Bacterial small subunit ribosomal RNA
Source: RNAcentral
GACGAACGCUGGCGGCGUGCCUAAUACAUGCAAGUUGAGCGAUGAAGAUUGGUGCUUGCACCUAUUUGAAGAGCAGCGGACGGGUGAGUAACGCGUGGGGAAUCUGCCUUUGAGCGGGGGACAACAUUUGGAAACGAAUGCUAAUACCGCAUAAUAACUUUAAACAUAAGUUUUAAGUUUGAAAGAUGCAAUUCCAUCACUCAAAGAUGAACCCGCAUUGUAUUAGCUAGUUGGUGAGGUAAAGGCUCACCAAGGCGAUGAUACAUAGCCGACCUGCGCGGGUGAUCGGCCACAUUGGGACUGAGCCACGGCCCAACCUCCUACGGGAGGCAGCAGUAGGGGAUCUUCGGCCAUGGACGAAAGUCUGACCGAGCAACGCCGCGUGAGUGAAGAAGGUCUUCGGAUCGGAAAACUCUGUUGGUAGAGAAGAACGUUGGUGAGAGUGGAAAGCUCAUCAAGUGACGGUAACUACCCAGAAAGGGACGGCUAACUACGUG